This 2439-nucleotide long non-coding RNA is filed under the name Salvia miltiorrhiza (redroot sage). RNAcentral describes it as "long non-coding RNA (SMIL_LNC007764)". Lineage: Eukaryota; Viridiplantae; Streptophyta; Magnoliopsida; Lamiales; Lamiaceae. The record is from RNAcentral.
AUCUAUCAAUUAUAUAAUGGAAUACAUUUUUGAGAGCCCACAACAAUUCUCUGUCCUACGUGGCGCUCUCAAAAGUCUCCAUUUUGAUUUAUCUAAAUUCUGUAUUCUCAAGCUUACGCCUCAAUCAUCAAGCUUUGCAAAUCUCCUUUAAACAAUAACCGUUACAAAAUUAGAUUAGCAAAUCCCAUAAAUUAUUCACACGCUAUUUACAGCUGCAAAAUCUCUGCAAUCUUAUUCACCGUCUAUAUUUUUCAUAAUCUCUCAAUUCCCAGUUACAGUUUCCAUGAACUAUGCCUAAAUCAUCUCUCGAUUUUCAUUGAUUAUGCCUCCAUUAAAGGUCAAUAGUCUAUCAGUCGAUUCUCAUAGUUUCUAGACUCUCGAUCUCAAAAUCAUUUUCCUUGCCUCUCCAUAUUAUUUCAUUGUUUCUACUGAUGAUGCCCCAAUCAGCCCUCAAUCAGGAAGCUACAAUUGGUUAUGCCCUAGCUUUUGAACUAUAAAUCUUUGGCAUUCGAAAUGGUUUCAAUCCUUAUCGUCGAACAUUCUCCGAAUGUCAUCUUUGGUUAAUCGACUAUCAAUUAUGAGGUUUGCUCUUUCUUAUCUAUGAUCGAUGAUCGAUUAAUUUUCAUCAUUAUGUUCGUGUAUUUGGUUUUUGUUUUAUUUAAAGACUUAAACCAUUUAUAUGCUAUUGCUUACCAACUGUUCUAUAAAAUGCCCAAAUCAUGAUUUGCUGACUUAUCUGAUAAGUUUAAUAGUCAAUAGAGUGACCUUGUGGGCUAAAUUGUUAGUGUCUCAAAACGGCAAAAUUUAUGUGUUGUUGUCGAGCUUCGCGAGUAGUUUUGAAUUGUCGUGAUUUGUUCCGUUUUAAGAUCGCUCAAGCAAAAACAUAGAUACAUGUGUUUGAUUUUGAUUGAAUCUUGAGUCUGCUCUGUUUUUUGUUGAUAAGCAUAAACAAUGGAGAUCGAAGGUUUGUAAUACCCAUAAACACACUGUUAUAGCCCAAAAUUUAAAAUACGCCCAUAUUCAAAGGAAAAUUAGUGGGUAGUGAUGUCAAGACCUAUAUUCCACGCUCAGUUCACUUCAAGACGAAUUAUAUUUACAAGUUAUCAAGAAAGUAAGAUAGUUAUUGCAUUUGUAAUGAUCAAGAGACAACAGCGUUAUAAGCACAUUUAGACUGAAAAUUUUGAAAAGCUCCGACUAACGAAACUCAAGAACUUCUUUACAUAUGCGUAAUGUUAUAGUUACAAGGAGUCUAGAAAACAAAGAACACUGCACCAAAAUAUCUGUCAAUUUAAAAGUAGGACUGGUUGUGGGCAUGGUAAGUUGGAAAUCCAAUACGGUAUUAUGCAUACCAUUUAUAUUCCACCUAUUUGAUUUAUUUAUAUUCUUUUGUUGAGGAUGGAGAUAUUGUCGAAUCGGAAGGAAGAAUGGAUUCUUGAAGCAAAGGCGAAAAUGAGGAGGUCAAUUGAAAAAUGGCGAAAGUUGAGAUAGAGUUUAUUGAUUAUAAAACUCUCAUGUAUAUGUAUUUUUCUUUUCAUGCAUCACCAUUAUCUAUUGAUCAUGACUUGUGCCAGUAGAAUCGUGUUUGUUAUUAAACUUAAAUCCAUUUAUAUAUUAUUUGAUUGAUUAUAUUGUACAUAUAUUGCUUUUAUUACAUUAAUUUCAUGGUGAUAUUAUUUUAAUCUUUUUUAAUAUUGUAUUUGAGUCCACAUAUUAAUUAAUGAUUUUUACUCUAAUCUUUGUGUAUUUGCUUUUACGUUGCGAGAUAAUUCGCUAAUGUUAUUAUUGUUCUACCUUAAAAUAUUUUUGUUAGUAUUGUUUUCUAUUUAUCUUUAAACAUGUUUUUUACAAUCUGACUUUUAACUCUUUUUCCAUUCGUUAAUUUAAUUGUGAUAAUUGAUAUUGCCCUAGCACAUGAUGCAAAAUGAUCUCGUAGAUUAUAUAAAUAGAAUCUCAACUUCAACCAAUUGCAGGAAACCUUUGAUAAUUUAAAAUCAGUUUUAAAAUUGUCUACUAAUGGUACAUUACAAGUUUCAUGGAUAUUUUAUAUUUUAAUGUGAGUACAUUUUGUCAUUGAUUAUGCGUAUUGUACACUAUUUUAUCUAUAUUCACUACAGCUACAUGUUUGAAAGCAUAACGAAGUGCAGAGUGAUCACCGGUGCAAAGGACCAUGGAUAAGGAGUGGCUCCGAUUAAGAUUUCCAAAUGGAGUGGUGAAGGGAUAAACCGAAGCACACCCGAACGAGAGGGAUUCCGAGACUAUGUUGAAAUGAGACGACAUAUUCAAGAAGAGCUUGUGUAAAAUUACUAACACUUGUGUAAAAUUCAUAGUAUUUCAUCAGCUUUUGUAAAUUCAUAUAUUGCCUUAUUUAUAUUCAUAUAUAUUUGUUGAUAGCAAUAUAUUGGCUUUAAUUUUUUUUUUUAAAUAAAAUUUGAAUCCCGC